RNAcentral lists this ribosomal RNA (305 nucleotides) under uncultured bacterium. RNAcentral's name for it is "bacterial SSU rRNA". It matches the Rfam family "Bacterial small subunit ribosomal RNA", at positions 337 to 640 of the family's 1533-position model. The record is from RNAcentral.
UCCUACGGGGGGCAGCAGUGAGGAAUAUUGGUCAAUGGUCGGGAGACUGAACCAGCCAAGCCGCGUGAGGGAUGAAGGUACAGAGUAUCGUAAACCUCUUUUGUCAGGGAACAAAGGCGGGGACGUGUCCCCGGAUGAGUGUACCUGAAGAAGAAGCAUCGGCUAACUCCGUGCCAGCAGCCGCGGUAAUACGGAGGAUGCGAGCGUUAUCCGGAUUUAUUGGGUUUAAAGGGUGCGCAGGCGGUCUGUUAAGUCAGCGGUCAAAGCCCGGGGCUCAACCCCGGCCCGCCGUUGAAACUGGCAGU